AUUCAGCUGACGAGUCUCAAAUAGGGCGAAAUGCUCGUCAAACUGAAU
This is a non-coding RNA of Schistosoma curassoni, 48 nucleotides long. Lineage: Eukaryota; Metazoa; Platyhelminthes; Trematoda; Strigeidida; Schistosomatidae. The record is from Rfam.